Molecule: ribosomal RNA, 253 nt
Filed under: uncultured bacterium
Lineage: Bacteria
Description: partial 16S ribosomal RNA
Rfam family: Bacterial small subunit ribosomal RNA
Source: RNAcentral
GACGAACCGUGCGAACGUUGUUCGGAAUCACUGGGCUUAAAGGGCGCGUAGGUGGUUUGCCAAGUCGGGGUUGAAAUCUUUCGGCUUAACCGGAAAAGUGGCUUCGAUACUGGCAAGCUGGAGGGAGGUAGGGGCGGAUGGAACUUCCGGUGGAGCGGUGAAAUGUGUUGAUAUCGGAAGGAACACCGGUGGCGAAAGCGAUCCGCUGGACCUCUUCUGACACUGAGGCGCGAAAGCCAGGGGAGCAAACGGG